AAGUCGUAACCUGCGGAAGGAUCAUUGUUGAACAGAUUUUGAUUCAGGGACCUCAGUUUAUUGGGCUUUGAUUGAAGCGAUCGUUGCAAGCGACCUGGUUUCCCUCGUGUCUGAAAGUGGCAUUGUAUGCGAAAGGAUAACGCCAUCGAUCACUAGAGGCCGAACACCCUCGGCCCCCAUAUUAACCCCACUACCAAUACUCGCCUCGUAGGAAACUGCUAGGCAACAAAACGAACAACUGUUAACAAUGGAUAUCUUGGUUCUC
This 265-nucleotide unclassified non-coding RNA is filed under the name fungal sp. RNAcentral's name for it is "partial internal transcribed spacer region". The record is from RNAcentral. Lineage: Eukaryota; Fungi.